UUAACGCAAAUUUGUAUAGAGUUGGAACAGUGUCCGUACGUUUGCCGCUAGGGGCGCUGUUCCAACUCCAUACGAAUUUGAGUUA
Non-coding RNA from Bombyx mori (domestic silkworm), 85 nucleotides. Lineage: Eukaryota; Metazoa; Arthropoda; Insecta; Lepidoptera; Bombycidae. The record is from Rfam.